This is a long non-coding RNA of Entelurus aequoreus (snake pipefish), 1817 nucleotides long. RefSeq lists it as uncharacterized. The transcript is spliced from 3 exons. NCBI's taxonomy places the organism in Eukaryota, Metazoa, Chordata, Actinopteri, Syngnathiformes, Syngnathidae. The record is from RefSeq and is a predicted model, not a curated record.
UAUUGCUAGUUUUUCCAAGUCAACCUUCAAAAGCGUAUGUUGUAAUUGUACCGUAAUUGAUAUUUUAACGAUAACAAUACUCGAAUUAUGCUGCUUUUCACACUUUAAGGAGAGGAGCAAGUGUUCGCUAGCCAACAGUUUGUUCCGAAAGACGGUAAAAAUAAAAGUUGUAGUUUGGAAGUAGGGGUGUACAGUUCCGGUUGUCUUACCGGGGGCCAGGCGGACCAGAGUCGGCAGACGGAACUUGCUGACCACCGCGUCCAACGGCAGCGCUAACGGGCUCCAGGAGAUCUCCGACAGGCUCGCCGACAACUUCUCCAUCCUGCCGGGGUCAUCACUGUGCCGGAGAGGAGGCGGGGGGCGAAGACGACGGCGGCGGCGGGUGUCGUGGUGACGAGCUGGUGGAGUCUGCAGGGAACUCAACAGACUCAGAGAAACUGGAGCCAGCGGACAUUUGCAUCCCUGACUGAUCCGCAACUUAAAAGGGUCGUUAAAAAUGCCGUCUGAAAUGGCAACAGAUAAAAAAAGAGGGCCUGAAGCCACAUCCUCUUCUUCGCUUCUGCAAAGAUCUCCAUCUUCCCAAGCAACUGGAUAGAGUUCAGUCAGCUGAAUCGCUUCCUGGACGCAACAAUGGAAGUCAAGACGGAGUUGCCAAAGCAGAAGUUUGCCAAAUGAGGCAGUCUGGGAGUAGGAGAAACAAUCUUGGCUGGAAGCUACUUUGAAACAAGAUGAUGAUCGCACUCUAAAGACUGCUGGGGGCAUUUACAAUAUAGUGCAUCUGUGACCUACUAAGACAAGGGUGUCGUUUUUAUUGAGGCCUAUGUCACAAUGAGGGCUGCCCUCAUAGAGCCACGUUAAAUGACGUAGCAGACCUCAUCAAAAAUGAUGUGGCGUACCACAUUAAAUGACAUGGAAGUCCACAUUGAAUGACGUGACGGGCCACAUUGAAGGAAAUUGCAAACCACUUUGAAUGAUGUGGUGGACCACAUUAAAUGACAUGGAUUAACUAGUUGAAUGAUGUGAUGGGCCAUGCUAAAUUAUGUGAUGGGCCAUAUCAAAUGAUGUGGUGUACCAGAUUAAAUGACAUGUAAGUCCACAUUGAAUGACUUGACAGGCCCCAUUAAAUGAAAUGGCAAACCACUUUAAAUGAUGUGGAAGACCACAUGGAAUGAUGUGGUGGACCACAUUAAAUGUCAUGGAUUAACCAGUUGAAUGACGUGAUGGGCCACAAUCAAUUACGUGAUGGGCCUUAUUAAUGUACGUUCUGGGCCACAUAAAUGAUGUGGCAGACCACAUUGAAUGAAGUGGCAGAUCUCAUUGAAUGAUUUAGAAGACCACAUUGAAUGACGUGAUGGGCCACAUUAAAUGAAAUGGCAAAUCACUUUGAAUGAAGUGGCACCACAUCAAAUGGCAUGGAAUACCUCAUUGAAUGACGGGACGGGCCACAUUGAAUGAGGUGGCAGACUACAUUGAAUGAUGUGGCAGACCACAUUGAAUGAUGUAGAAGAACACAUUGAAUGAUGUGACGGGCCACAUUAAAUUAAAUAGCAAACCACUUUGAAUGACGUGGCACCACAUCAAAUGACAUGGAAUACCUCAUUGAAUGACGUGACGAGCCACAUUGAAUGAGGUGGCAGACCUCAUUGAAUUAUGUGGAAGACCACAUUGAAUGACGUGACAGGCCAAGUUAAAUGAAAUGGCAAACCACUUUGAAUGACGUGGCACCACAUUGAAUGAUGUGGAAGACCACAUUGAAUGACGUGGUGGACCACAUUAAACCACAUCAAAUGAUUAGGAAUACCUCAUUGAAUGAAGCA